AUAACUACUCUUUAUUAAAAGCAUUUUCAUUUCAUCUGUUCUUUAAAACAGCUUUUUCUAUCUCAUAUGUGUGUAAGUGCAGGUAUGAGAAAUAUCACAUUGAUGAAGAUGGGGAAAGAAAAACCAACUAUUAAUCCAUUUAUGUAACUUUUUUAAAUUUAUUAUAGUUUUAGCAAAUCGUAGAAAACUAUAAAUUUUUUAUUCGUUGCGUC
RNAcentral lists this long non-coding RNA (212 nucleotides) under Jatropha curcas. RNAcentral describes it as "long non-coding RNA (JCUR_LNC000305)". Lineage: Eukaryota; Viridiplantae; Streptophyta; Magnoliopsida; Malpighiales; Euphorbiaceae. The record is from RNAcentral.